AUUUUCAAGGGAAAUGUAAACCGAUUUCCUGAAUAGAGACAUUACUAGCUUUCAAAGUUCUCAUCACUUACAUUGUCUUGAUCAACUUCUUUGAUAAUAUCCUCAAGAAGAACAUCAGUCAUGCCAUGUUCUGAGCAAGCUUGCUGGAG
Molecule: long non-coding RNA, 149 nt
Organism: Telopea speciosissima
Lineage: Eukaryota; Viridiplantae; Streptophyta; Magnoliopsida; Proteales; Proteaceae
Exons: 3
Source: RefSeq, a predicted model, not a curated record